This 869-nucleotide ribosomal RNA is filed under the name Pleurothecium hainanense. RNAcentral describes it as "Pleurothecium sp. JM-2022a partial large subunit ribosomal RNA". It matches the Rfam family "Eukaryotic large subunit ribosomal RNA", at positions 43 to 946 of the family's 3401-position model. The record is from RNAcentral. Lineage: Eukaryota; Fungi; Ascomycota; Sordariomycetes; Pleurotheciales; Pleurotheciaceae.
UCAAUAAGCGGAGGAAAAGAAACCAACAGGGAUUGCCUCAGUAACGGCGAGUGAAGCGGCAACAGCCCAGAUUUGAAAUCCGGCUUUCGGGCCCGACUUGUAAUCUGCAGAUGAGUCUUUUGGUGCAGCGCCGUCCAAGUUCCCUGGAACGGGACGCCGGAGAGGGUGAGAGCCCCGUACCGACGUGCGCCUAUCCUUUGCAAAGCUCAUUCGAAGAGUCGAGUAGUUUGGAAAUGCUGCUCUAAUUGUGGGGUAAAUCUCCCAUAAGGCUAAAUACUGGCCAGAGACCGAUAGCGCACAAGUAGCGUGAGCGAAAGAUGAAAAGAGCCUUGGACAAGGGCGUCAAAAAGCAUGUGAAAUUGUUAUGAGGGAAGCGCUCGAUGCCAGACGUGGUGGCGGUUGGUUACCCGGCGUUCUCGCCGGCGCACUCUGCCGUCUCCAGGCCAGCAUCAGUUUGAUUCGGGGCUCAAUGCCGCAAGGAACGUGGCUCUUCGGAGUGUUAUAGCCCUGCGGCGACGCCCCGCGACGGACUGAGGAACGCGCAUCUGCCCGGAUGCUGGCGUAAUGGCUUCUAGCGACCCGUCUUGAAACACGGACCAAGGAGUUGACCUAGUAUGCGAGUGUUUGGGUGUAAAGCCCUCACGCGCAGUGAAAGCGAAGCAGGUGGGAGCCUCGGCGCACCAUCGACCGAUCCUGAAGUUUACGGAUGGAUUUGAGUAAGAGCAUGCUGGGUCUGACCCGAAAGAAGGUGAACUAUGCAUGAAUAGGGUGAAGCCAGAGGAAACUCUGGUGGAGGCUCGCAGCGGUUCUGACGUGCAAAUCGAUCGUCAAAUUUGUGCAUGGGGGCGAAAGACCAAUCGAACCUUCUA